GAAAAGCCCGCUCGCCGGAAGACCAAGGGUUCCUGUCCAACGUUAAUCGGGGCAGGGUGAGUCGACCCCUAAGGCGAGGCCGAAAGGCGUAGUCGAUGGGAAACAGGUUAAUAUUCCUGUACUUGGUGUUACUGCGAAGGGGGGACGGAGAAGGCUAUGUUGGCCGGGCGACGGUUGUCCCGGUUUAAGCGUGUAGGCUGGUUUUCCAGGCAAAUCCGGAAAAUCAAGGCUGAGGCGUGAUGACGAGGCACUACGGUGCUGAAGCAACAAAUGCCCUGCUUCCAGGAAAAGCCUCUAAGCAUCAGGUAACAUCAAAUCGUACCCCAAACCGACACAGGUGGUCAGGUAGAGAAUACCAAGGCGCUUGAGAGAACUCGGGUGAAGGAACUAGGCAAAAUGGUGCCGUAACUUCGGGAGAAGGCACGCUGAUAUGUAGGUGAAGUCCCUCGCGGAUGGAGCUGAAAUCAGUCGAAGAUACCAGCUGGCUGCAACUGUUUAUUAAAAACACAGCACUGUGCAAACACGAAAGUGGACGUAUACGGUGUGACGCCUGCCCGGUGCCGGAAGGUUAAUUGAUGGGGUUAGCGCAAGCGAAGCUCUUGAUCGAAGCCCCGGUAAACGGCGGCCGUAACUAUAACGGUCCUAAGGUAGCGAAAUUCCUUGUCGGGUAAGUUCCGACCUGCACGAAUGGCGUAAUGAUGGCCAGGCUGUCUCCACCCGAGACUCAGUGAAAUUGAACUCGCUGUGAAGAUGCAGUGUACCCGCGGCAAGACGGAAAGACCCCGUGAACCUUUACUAUAGCUUGACACUGAACAUUGAGCCUUGAUGUGUAGGAUAGGUGGGAGGCUUUGAAGUGUGGACGCCAGUCUGCAUGGAGCCGACCUUGAAAUACCACCCUUUAAUGUUUGAUGUUCUAACGUUGACCCGUAAUCCGGGUUGCGGACAGUGUCUGGUGGGUAGUUUGACUGGGGCGGUCUCCUCCUAAAGAGUAACGGAGGAGCACGAAGGUUGGCUAAUCCUGGUCGGACAUCAGGAGGUUAGUGCAAUGGCAUAAGCCAGCUUGACUGCGAGCGUGACGGCGCGAGCAGGUGCGAAAGCAGGUCAUAGUGAUCCGGUGGUUCUGAAUGGAAGGGCCAUCGCUCAACGGAUAAAAGGUACUCCGGGGAUAACAGGCUGAUACCGCCCAAGAGUUCAUAUCGACGGCGGUGUUUGGCACCUCGAUGUCGGCUCAUCACAUCCUGGGGCUGAAGUAGGUCCCAAGGGUAUGGCUGUUCGCCAUUUAAAGUGGUACGCGAGCUGGGUUUAGAACGUCGUGAGACAGUUCGGUCCCUAUCUGCCGUGGGCGCUGGAGAACUGAGGGGGGCUGCUCCUAGUACGAGAGGACCGGAGUGGACGCAUCACUGGUGUUCGGGUUGUCAUGCCAAUGGCACUGCCCGGUAGCUAAAUGCGGAAGAGAUAAGUGCUGAAAGCAUCUAAGCACGAAACUUGCCCCGAGAUGAGUUCUCCCUGACUCCUUGAGAGUCCUGAAGGAACGUUGAAGACGACGACGUUGAUAGGCCGGGUGUGUAAGCGCAGCGAUGCGUUGAGCUAACCGGUACUAAUGAACCGUGAGGCUUAACCUUACAACGCCGAAGCUGUU
Molecule: ribosomal RNA, 1639 nt
Filed under: Escherichia coli
Lineage: Bacteria; Pseudomonadati; Pseudomonadota; Gammaproteobacteria; Enterobacterales; Enterobacteriaceae
Description: bacterial LSU rRNA
Rfam family: Bacterial large subunit ribosomal RNA
Source: RNAcentral